CAGCAGCCGCGGGAAUACGAAGGGUGCAAGCGUUACUCGGAAUUACUGGGCGUAAAGCGUGCGUAGGUGGUUGUUUAAGUCUGCUGUGAAAGCCCUGGGCUCAACCUGGGAAUUGCAGUGGAUACUGGGCAACUAGAGUAAGGUAGAGGAUAGUGGAAUUUCCGGUGUAGCAGUGAAAUGCGUAGAGAUCGGAAGGAACAUCUGUGGCGAAGGCGACUAUCUGGGCCAUUACUGACACUGAGGCACGAAAGCGUGGGGAGCAAACAGGAUUAGAUACCCCUGUAGUCCCUGUCUCUUAUAC
This 301-nucleotide ribosomal RNA is filed under the name uncultured bacterium. RNAcentral describes it as "partial 16S ribosomal RNA". It matches the Rfam family "Bacterial small subunit ribosomal RNA", at positions 509 to 807 of the family's 1533-position model. The record is from RNAcentral.